GGAAUGAAUAGCAAGCAGGCCUCCCUUCAUGUUCCUGCUCCAGCUCCUCUCCUGACUUCUGCCCAUGAUGAACUGUCAUCUAUAAGCUUAAAUAAGCCCUUCCUUCCUGUCAUGAGUAGGAUGCAGGAAAACUGAUGCAAAACUCCUGCCUUCCUGGAUAAAGGGAGGAGGCUAGGGAGACUGAUGAAAUUCACAAGAAACCUAACAAGACACAAGAGGCCCUUCCCUCAGGUUAUAUGAGCAGCAAACAGUAGCAGCAAUGUUCUGCCUCUACUUAGGCUCAAACACGAUGGAACCAGCCAACCACAGACUGAGACCAACGUACCAGAACAUGUGACACAAAUCCCAGGGCCACAAGAACAGAGGGGUCAGGCCAGUCUGCAGAGGCCAGGGAUUUGGAGAGCCAGGCCCAGAAUGUACUUCCUCUCAAAGCACUUCAAAAAAGUCUUGGAUCUAAGUGCCUUUCAAAGCCACCACAAGGACUAGUUAGAAUGGGAUGGGGGCAGUUCAGUCAACAUAGGAGAGGCCAAGGCUAGACAGUGAUGUGAGCUUCCUAAUCAGUUCCUACCUGGGACCUAAAGUUCGAAAGUGACAUCUCUCGCCCUACCUAAUCAUGAAUCUUCUUUGGACUGUGUUCUCUGAGGACCUCAAGGUCUGUCCAGGACUUGGCCCUGAGAUCAUCAAAGCCACAUUUUUACAGAUAGCCAAGUUUACAGAUGUUUCCCUGAUCACUACGAGCUUUGCUGCAAUAACCUCAGGUUGCUUCCCACUGACAAGCAUCCUUUUCCCAAGUUCAUGCUGAAGAAGAGCUGUCUAGAAGAUGAGCAGCUCCAGAGGACAAGGAGAGGGCAGGCACCCUCUGAAGGAGUAAGUGUUGUCAUCAGUCAGUAAGGAUGGCUUAACAAAGGGCAGUGCUCUCCACAUAGAGUAAGGUUCAGGAAAGGGAAGCUGGGUGUCAGGUGCCAAGGGAAAUGGAAGGACCUCGGAGCUUAUUUAUGGAUGGACACAGUGUGUUUACGUUUUUUGGCAGAGCUGUGAGGCCUCCCCACCCCCACCCCAAGGACUCAGGAAUGCGUCUGCUGACCUUCAAGCUGAGAUGAAGGCAUGGGUGGGUCAAUUCAUCUUAGAGAAAUGCCUGCCCAUUCCAAAGUUAAGUACAGUCUUUCCCCAAAGCAAGAAAAGUUUGACAACUGGGAGGGAAACACAAUGAUCCCAAGGCUGCAAAAGAGGAGUAACAACCCCUACAGCAACCUACUUCAAUCUAUAGAAUUUCAUUCAUGUUCACAAAAAUGACAAGGUGCAAGGUCAGUAGUUCCUUUUUUUGAGAGAGAGAGAGUUAACCGGUUAGCCUGGCAGUGGUGGUACACUCCUUUAAUCCCAGCGCUCAGGAGGCAGAAGCAGGCAGGCAGGCAGAAGGAUCUCUGCUGUGAGUUCCAGGCCAGCCUGGUCUACAGAUCAAGUUCCAGGACAGCCAGCACUAUGAAAAAAAAAGCAAACAAAAACAAACAAACAAACAAAAAACCUGUCUUAAAAAACUAAAAAAAAAGAAAAUAGUUAAGGAUUAAACAGUUUUCUGAUGGUCAACAAAUUUAGUGUCAGAUCUGGGAUUCAUAGGCAAGGUUCCAUUUCUUCCCAGGAUACAAGAUAUUGUAUGUUUUAUAUGCCUAAUCCUCUCCUGGAUCCUGCAAGAAUGUUUUAUUACCUUUGUUUAAACGUGGAAAAAUGAAGAGACUGAGCAACAGACCUGAGGCUACAACUUGUUCCUUCGGGAAACGUUAGGCUUCCCUGGUGCCGAGCACUGGUGACUCAGAUGCCAAGUGGAGCAAGCAUGAUUUGCAGAAACACCUAAAGGUCUUAGCCAAAAGAAUUCAUAUUUCAAAGGGGAAAAAAGCGGAAACAUAGUUCAGUGAAUCGUUGGGUUUUCUGUGCUAACAGGCUGAAUUCCAUGUAAAAUGUGGGGUGGGGUGGUUAGUAAUAGCUUGGAAAGAUUACAGAUGUACAUAGGCUUGUUUUAUUAAUUAAGCAAGCCUGGAUGCUAUGCUAGUUGCAGGAAAUGCAUGCCCUGGAGGAGACUUUCAAAAGGAAUCUUUGGAUUUAUGUGUAAUAUGACAGAGAACUCCGGAAGAUGGGAGGCAGGAUGCACUGUCCAUCUCUGUGACAGGGCCUAGAAUCCAGUUCCUUAUAAAUGACUUUUACAACCAGUACUAUCCCCAGCCACACACCAGCUGGGUGAUGUGGAAAAGAUAUGGGAAGUCAUUAUAAUGAAAAAAAAAAAAAAAAAAAAACCUCUGGACAUACUCACUUGCAAUAACCUGCCGCAGCAUUGUAUCCUCACACCCCGCUCUGAGGUCUGGGGGCCAGGCAGGCUUGCCAGCUCACUGUUUGCACCAAGUCCCUGCCUGCCCCAGCUGCUGCAGCCACCUCUUCCUGCUGAGCUGCUGAUGCUGCUGGGGCCUGAAGUCCCCCUCCAGCUGGAAGCUGCCCUGGCUGACCCUCAGCUGCCCUGUCCAUGUGUGUUCUAGAGACUAG
Molecule: long non-coding RNA, 2529 nt
Filed under: Cricetulus griseus (Chinese hamster)
Lineage: Eukaryota; Metazoa; Chordata; Mammalia; Rodentia; Cricetidae
Description: lncRNA (ENSCGRG00015036925.1)
Source: RNAcentral